GGGCGGUUGGCGCAGCGGUAGCGCGCUUCCCUGACACGGAAGAGGUCACUGGUUCGAUCCCAGUACCGCCCA
This 72-nucleotide transfer RNA is filed under the name Geodermatophilaceae bacterium. RNAcentral's name for it is "tRNA-Val". It matches the Rfam family "tRNA". Rfam says of the family: Transfer RNA (tRNA) molecules are approximately 80 nucleotides in length. Their secondary structure includes four short double-helical elements and three loops (D, anti-codon, and T loops). The record is from RNAcentral. Lineage: Bacteria; Bacillati; Actinomycetota; Actinomycetes; Geodermatophilales; Geodermatophilaceae. RNAcentral also lists the same sequence under 1 other name.